GACGAACGCUGGCGGCAUGCCUAAUACAUGCAAGUCGAGCGAACAGAUGAAGUGCUUGCGCUUCUGACGUUAGCGGCGAACGGGUGAGUAACACGUAAGGAAUCUACCUAUAAGCGGGGGAUAACAUUCGGAAACGGGUGCUAAUACCGCAUAAUAUCUUCUUCCGCAUGGAAGAAGAUUGAAAGACGGCUCUGCUGUCACUUAUAGAUGACCUUGCGGUGCAUUAGUUAGUUGGUGGGGUAAUGGCCUACCAAGACGAUGAUGCAUAGCCGGCCUGAGAGGGUGAGCGGCCACAUUGGGAGUGAGACACGGCCCAAACUCCUACGGGAGGCAGCAGUAGGGAAUCUUCCGCGAUGGGCGAAAGCCUGACGGAGCAAUGCCGCGUGAGUGAAGAAGGCCUUCGGGUCGUAAAACUCUGUUAUAAGAGAAGAACAAAUUGUAGAGUAACUGCUACAGUCUUGACGGUAUCUUAUCAGAAAGCCACGGCUAACUACUUGCCAGCCGCCGCGGUAA
RNAcentral lists this ribosomal RNA (513 nucleotides) under uncultured bacterium. RNAcentral's name for it is "partial 16S ribosomal RNA". It matches the Rfam family "Bacterial small subunit ribosomal RNA", at positions 28 to 523 of the family's 1533-position model. The record is from RNAcentral.